AAAAUUAUUUUAUCUCGCAUUUCUUUUAAUUUACAAAUAAAAUUAUAAAUACAAAACCCAUCAAAAUUGUACCAUCGAAACAAUAUCAUUAAACAAAAUCUGAAAUGAUGAUGAUGAUCUGACGGUGGAGAAAUGAAUUUGGAGGAUAAAGGUCAAAGAAAGGUAGGGGCAGAAAGCGAUGGCAUAAGAUUACGGAAGGCGACGUUGUAGGGAAACGGAGAAGACAAAGGCGGGUAAGGUUGCCCUGUUGCCCACGUGGCUUAUAAUUUAUUACGAUGUAACACUUGCUUGGGUAAAUGAAAUGCCUCUUGGAAGGGACACUCAAUGGUCGUACGUAGAAGAACAUAUUGAGAUGUUAAUUAAUAGUAAUUUAUUUUGCUGUAUUAGUGACAGAUUAUUAAAGUAAUUAAUUAAGUAGAAUUUGCUUAGAAACAGCUCAUAAGAGACAGCCA
This 452-nucleotide long non-coding RNA is filed under the name Gossypium barbadense (sea-island cotton). Its description in RNAcentral is "long non-coding RNA (GBAR_LNC014728)". Lineage: Eukaryota; Viridiplantae; Streptophyta; Magnoliopsida; Malvales; Malvaceae. The record is from RNAcentral.